This 88-nucleotide transfer RNA is filed under the name Streptomyces fructofermentans. Its description in RNAcentral is "tRNA-Ala". Lineage: Bacteria; Bacillati; Actinomycetota; Actinomycetes; Kitasatosporales; Streptomycetaceae. The record is from RNAcentral.
CUUGAGCUGGUCGGAGGUGAGCGACUCGCCGCUCGCGCCGACGAGGAGUUCGAAGACGCCGUCGCCGUUCACGUCGACGGGCUCCAGG